RNAcentral lists this ribosomal RNA (468 nucleotides) under uncultured bacterium. Its description in RNAcentral is "partial 16S ribosomal RNA". It matches the Rfam family "Bacterial small subunit ribosomal RNA", at positions 28 to 507 of the family's 1533-position model. The record is from RNAcentral.
GACGAACGCUGGCGGCGUGCUUAACACAUGCAAGUCGAACGGAAAGGCCCUGCUUUUGUGGGGUGCUCGAGUGGCGAACGGGUGAGUAACACGUGAGUAACCUGCCCUUGACUUUGGGAUAACUUCAGGAAACUGGGGCUAAUACCGGAUAGGAGCUCCUGCUGCAUGGUGGGGGUUGGAAAGGUUCGGCGGUUGGGGAUGGACUCGCGGCUUAUCAGCUUGUUGGUGGGGUAGUGGCUUACCAAGGCUUUGACGGGUAGCCGGCCUGAGAGGGUGACCGGCCACAUUGGGACUGAGAUACGGCCCAGACGCCUACGGGAGGCAGCAGUGGGGAAUAUUGCACAAUGGGCGGAAGCCUGAGGCAGCAACGCCGCGUGCGGGAUGACGGCCUUCGGGUUGUAAACCGCUUUCGCCUGUGACGAAGCGUGAGUGACGGUAAUGGGUAAAGAAGCACCGGCUAACUACGUG